Molecule: unclassified non-coding RNA, 209 nt
Filed under: soil metagenome
Description: partial contains 5.8S ribosomal RNA, internal transcribed spacer 2, and large subunit ribosomal RNA
Source: RNAcentral
AACACUGUUAACCUGCGGUACCUGCGGAGGGAUCAUUAUCGAGUUGCAAAACUCCAACCCUUUGUGAACAUACCUCAGUCGUUGCUUCGGCGGUGGACGGCCUGUUUUUUCAGAACGGCCGGAAGCCGCCGGAGGUUCCAAACUCGUGUUUUCUUUUUGUGUAUCUCUGAGCCUGAAAACGAAUAAUCAAAACUUUCAACAACGGAUCU